Molecule: ribosomal RNA, 433 nt
Filed under: uncultured bacterium
Lineage: Bacteria
Description: partial 16S ribosomal RNA
Rfam family: Bacterial small subunit ribosomal RNA
Source: RNAcentral
GACGAACGCUGGCGGCAGGCCUAACACAUGCAAGUCGAGCGGACCUUUCGGGGUCAGCGGCGGACGGGUGCGUAACGCGUGGGAAUAUGCCCUUCUCUACGGAAUAGUCCUGGGAAACUGGGGGUAAUACCGUAUACGCCCUUUGGGGGAAAGAUUUAUCGGGGAAGGAUUAGCCCGCGUUGGAUUAGGUAGUUGGUGGGGUAAUGGCCUACCAAGCCGACGAUCCAUAGCUGGUUUGAGAGGAUGAUCAGCCACACUGGGACUGAGACACGGCCCAGACUCCUACGGGAGGCAGCAGUGGGGAAUCUUAGACAAUGGGGGCAACCCUGAUCUAGCCAUGCCGCGUGAGUGAUGAAGGCCUUAGGGUUGUAAAGCUCUUUCAGCUGGGAAGAUAAUGACGGUACCAGCAGAAGAAGCCCCGGCUAACUCCGUG